This 709-nucleotide ribosomal RNA is filed under the name Gonocarpus cordiger. RNAcentral describes it as "eukaryotic LSU rRNA". The stretch from base 293 to 448 matches the Rfam family "5.8S ribosomal RNA". The record is from RNAcentral. Lineage: Eukaryota; Viridiplantae; Streptophyta; Magnoliopsida; Saxifragales; Haloragaceae.
UUUCCGUAGGUGAACCUGCGGAAGGAUCAUUGUCGAWACCUGCAAAGCAGAACGACCCGUGAACUUAUACUAACCCGGGGGCGGGGGAAGGUGCACUUGUGCUCCGCAACCCCUCGUCCCCUAGCCGGGCAGUGCCUCUCGUCGCCUCGAAUCCCUUCGUGCAACGGCGUGUGGUGCUGCACGGUGAUAUAAACGAACCCCGGCGCGGAAUGCGCCAAGGAAAUUCAAACGAACUUAGCACACCACAGGCCGACUAGUGCGGCCUUGGUGAUGCAAACUUCGAUACCUUAACGACUCUCGGCAACGGAUAUCUCGGCUCUCGCAUCGAUGAAGAACGUAGCGAAAUGCGAUACUUGGUGUGAAUUGCAGAAUCCCGUGAACCAUCGAGUCUUUGAACGCAAGUUGCGCCCGAAGCCAUUCGGCCGAGGGCACGCCUGCCUGGGCGUCACGUAUCGCGUUGCUCCCCAACACUCGCACCUCACGGGCGUGUGCUGCGGAAGCGGAGAUUGGCCUCCCGUGCUCCUGCACGGCUGGCCUAAAUGCAAGCCUCGGGGUGACGAAGUGUCACGACAAGCGGUGGUUGAUAUUCUCUCGGCCCUUGUUCCGUCGUGCGCGUCAGUGCCCUACGAGCUCAGCAUCCCCGACGCGUCAUCUCUGAUGGCGCUUGCAUCGCGACCCCAGGUCAGGCGGGAUUACCCGCUGAGUUUAA